AAUUGAAGAGUUUGAUCAUGGCUCAGAUUGAACGCUGGCGGCAGGCCUAACACAUGCAAGUCGAACGGUAACAGGAAGCAGCUUGCUGCUUUGCUGACGAGUGGCGGACGGGUGAGUAAUGUCUGGGAAACUGCCUGAUGGAGGGGGAUAACUACUGGAAACGGUGGCUAAUACCGCAUAACGUCGCAAGACCAAAGAGGGGGACCUUCGGGCCUCUUGCCAUCAGAUGUGCCCAGAUGGGAUUAGCUUGUUGGUGAGGUAACGGCUCACCAAGGCGACGAUCCCUAGCUGGUCUGAGAGGAUGACCAGCCACACUGGAACUGAGACACGGUCCAGACUCCUACGGGAGGCAGCAGUGGGGAAUAUUGCACAAUGGGCGCAAGCCUGAUGCAGCCAUGCCGCGUGUAUGAAGAAGGCCUUCGGGUUGUAAAGUACUUUCAGCGGGGAGGAAGGUGUUGCGGUUAAUAACCGCAGCAAUUGACGUUACCCGCAGAAGAAGCACCGGCUAACUCCGUGCCAGCAGCCGCGGUAAUACGGAGGGUGCAAGCGUUAAUCGGAAUUACUGGGCGUAAAGCGCACGCAGGC
Molecule: ribosomal RNA, 585 nt
Filed under: Salmonella enterica subsp. enterica serovar Typhimurium str. CDC_2009K1288
Lineage: Bacteria; Pseudomonadati; Pseudomonadota; Gammaproteobacteria; Enterobacterales; Enterobacteriaceae
Description: bacterial SSU rRNA
Rfam family: Bacterial small subunit ribosomal RNA
Source: RNAcentral